Molecule: small RNA, 107 nt
Filed under: Marmota monax (woodchuck)
Lineage: Eukaryota; Metazoa; Chordata; Mammalia; Rodentia; Sciuridae
Source: RNAcentral
GCUGGGUGUAGUGGCACACACCUGCAAUCUCAGUGACUCAGGAGGCUAAGGUAGGAGGAUCACAAGUUUGAGGCCAGCCUCAGCAACUUAGUAAGACCCUGUCUUAG